This 75-nucleotide transfer RNA is filed under the name Mameliella sp. CS4. RNAcentral describes it as "tRNA-Lys". It matches the Rfam family "tRNA". From Rfam's summary of the family: Transfer RNA (tRNA) molecules are approximately 80 nucleotides in length. Their secondary structure includes four short double-helical elements and three loops (D, anti-codon, and T loops). The record is from RNAcentral. Lineage: Bacteria; Pseudomonadati; Pseudomonadota; Alphaproteobacteria; Rhodobacterales; Roseobacteraceae.
GCAAAUGUAGCUCAUGGGUAGAGCAUUCGGCCCUUAAUCGAAGUGUAGCAGGUUCGAUUCCUGCCUUUUGCUCCA